AGUUUGAUCCUGGCUCAGAACGAACGCUGGCGGCGUGCCUAACACAUGCAAGUCGAACGGAUUUGAGGGGCUUGCUCCUCAAGUUAGUGGCGCACGGGUGAGUAACGCGUAGAUAAUCUGCCUGAUGAUCCGGGAUAACACUUCGAAAGGGGUGCUAAUACCGGAUAAGCUCACGGAGUCUUUGGACUCUGCGGGAAAAGGGGGGGACCUUCGGGCCUUCUGUCAUCAGAUGAGUCUGCGUACCAUUAGCUAGUUGGUAGGGUAAUGGCCUACCAAGGCUACGAUGGUUAGCUGGUUUGAGAGAAUGAUCAGCCACACUGGAACUGAGACACGGUCCAGACUCCUACGGGAGGCAGCAGUGGGGAAUUUUGCGCAAUGGGCGAAAGCCUGACGCAGCAACGCCGCGUGAGUGAUGAAGGCUUUCGGGUCGUAAAGCUCUGUCGAGGGGAAAGAAGUGUAUUGUGGCUAAUAUCCACGAUACUUGACGGUACCCCUAAAGGAAGCACCGGCUAACUCCGUGCCAGCAGCCGCGGUAAUACGGGGGGUGCAAGCGUUGUUCGGAAUUAUUGGGCGUAAAGAGCGUGUAGGCGGUUUGCUAAGUCUGAUGUGAAAGCCCUGGG
Molecule: ribosomal RNA, 620 nt
Filed under: uncultured bacterium
Lineage: Bacteria
Description: bacterial SSU rRNA
Rfam family: Bacterial small subunit ribosomal RNA
Source: RNAcentral